Molecule: long non-coding RNA, 1197 nt
Organism: Amphibalanus amphitrite
Lineage: Eukaryota; Metazoa; Arthropoda; Thecostraca; Balanomorpha; Balanidae
Exons: 4
Source: RefSeq, a predicted model, not a curated record
GGCCAGGUGAGAAAGGAGGACCCCUUAGAUUUCAAUAAUUUUUUGCUCAAUAAUGCAACCAAUGUUGGAGAUGCUACUGCUGGUUUUUCUUGUUUUGGCAAGGUCAAACUACGGAGAAAUGACGGGUCAAAGGUCAAGGUCAUUUUUAGCGGACCCUUUCGAUUCACAUAUAAAUUUUUAUCCCAAUACAAUUUUUAAUGCUGGUUAUUAUUCUGCGUAUUGUUAGGCUUGGCAGGUCUUAAAUUAUUUUAAAAUAUUUAAAUAAUUUAACCUUUAAUUCACCUAUCCCAACAUGGCUACCGUGCGAGCACCUAUCAAAACCUUGAUGAAAAUAACAAACCGAAAAUCUGAGAAACGCGAUUUGACCUUGGACGUGCCCCGCGUGCCCCGUGCCAGUGCACUGGCCUUAGGGGUGCUGAAGAACUUGAUUUGUUGAGCUCUGUGCCGCCGAGGAGACCGUGCGCCGCGAGCUGCCGCCCGAGGACCGGCCGGCGCUGACCCGGCUGUCACCUCUAACUGACGGCGCGCUGUCGCUUCGUCCUCCGACCCUGCGCCGGCCGUGCCGGGAGGCCGAGCUGCUGACCCAGCUGCAGCAGCUGGCGGUGGCCCUGGACGGCGCCUGCCCCCUGGUGUUGGAUGGCAGCUGCGGGAGCCACGUGACGCCGUCUGCGCUUUUGGCGCCAGGAGAGCUUGACGCUGCUGCGAGCACUACAGGGCUACUAGCGGUCUCUGAAUGGAGCUGCGUUCCGGUGGGCGGCUGGCUGCGCUCUCUCGGUCUGGCCCAGUACGCCGACGCGUUCGUCGCCCGCUCUGUGGAUGGCGCCCGGCUUCUGGGGCUCACCGAACAGGCUAUGGAAGACGAGCCCGACAUCGGUCUCGACGUGGCGACCUCGAAGCCGGCGUGUUGGGUCUCGGCUUCCCGCCACUCACUGGCGGACCUUUCCGCUUCGUGGACCGCAUCGGUCCCGCACAGCUAGUCAAGGACAUGGAGCGCUUCGCCGUCGUCAGUGGCGUCGGCUUCGAGCCGUGCCUGACCGUGCACUACCAGGCCGCUAGCGGCACCAAGUUCUGUUCGGCCGGGCCUCGUGUAAUGCCCACAUGUGAUGACCGAGUGUAUACGCAUGUGAAGCCGCUCCGCGUGUGUGCCAGCGCUGGGCGUGUUCAGUUUCAAAGUAAAUAUAGAACCCUGGUGAUGAA